GAGGAAGUCGCGCUCGCCGAGCUCGGGGGCAUUUCUGCAUUCUUUUCCAGAAGAGGACGGCCCUCCGCGGCGCCCCUCGGUCCCCGCGCUCUGCCAAGGAGCGGGGGCGGGAGCCGCGCGCCCAGCCGCGGCCCAGAUGGCGGAGCAGCCCCGAGCGGGGACAUUUUCUCAGGCUUUCAAAAAGAGCACUUUCUUUCCUGCCUAAUAUUUAGCUCCUUCAAAUGCAAAUGGAGAGGUUGCGCUCCAAGGUGAGCUGGAAUGCCUGUUCUGAGCGAGCCAGAGUAAGCAAGUGCGCUGUAUUACCUGACAGGCACCGAGCAGGGGUUCUGAGCACUGCACCGCGCAGAAUCACUGGAGCGGCUAGUUAAAACAAGAAUUGCUGGAUCUCAUCUCCAAUGCUCUGAUUCUGAGGUUUUGGUAGAACCUGAGAAUUUCCAUUUCUUACAAGUUACCAGAGAUGUUCAUGGCCUCUUUCCCAGACCACACUUGAAGAACCAUUGGCCUAAACAAAUCAGAGAAAUAUGCAACUUUUGUGAUUUUGAGAGAAUCCAAUAUAAGAUUUUCCUUUUAGCAGGAAUAGCUUAAAAAAAGAAAGGAAGAA
This 601-nucleotide long non-coding RNA is filed under the name Ictidomys tridecemlineatus (thirteen-lined ground squirrel). Its description in RNAcentral is "lncRNA (ENSSTOG00000030184.1)". The record is from RNAcentral. Lineage: Eukaryota; Metazoa; Chordata; Mammalia; Rodentia; Sciuridae.